GGGGAGCUGGCGUAAUUGGCAAACGCAAAGGGCUGUAGACUCUUCGUCAACAACACAAGAGCUCAGAUGGGACGAGGCAACCCCGAGUCCACGUGAUUUGGUCUCAAAAGACUUCCAGGUUCGAUUCCUGGGCUCCCCA
RNAcentral lists this transfer RNA (139 nucleotides) under Myxococcales bacterium. RNAcentral describes it as "tRNA-Tyr". It matches the Rfam family "tRNA". From Rfam's summary of the family: Transfer RNA (tRNA) molecules are approximately 80 nucleotides in length. The record is from RNAcentral. Lineage: Bacteria; Pseudomonadati; Myxococcota; Myxococcia; Myxococcales.